ACGGAGGGUGCAAGCGUUAUCCGGAUUCAUUGGGUUUAAAGGGUCCGUAGGCGGCCUUAUAAGUCAGUGGUGAAAUCCUUCCGCUCAACGGGAGAACUGCCAUUGAUACUGUAAGGCUUGAAUCUAUUUGAAGUGGGCGGAAUACGUCAUGUAGCGGUGAAAUGCAUAGAUAUGACGUAGAACACCGAUUGCGAAGGCAGCUCACUAAGUUAGUAUUGACGCUGAGGGACGAAAGCGUGGGGAGCGAACAGG
Molecule: ribosomal RNA, 252 nt
Filed under: uncultured bacterium
Lineage: Bacteria
Description: partial 16S ribosomal RNA
Rfam family: Bacterial small subunit ribosomal RNA
Source: RNAcentral